GUCUGUUUGUAGUUAUAAAGAGUCUAACCUGCCCCCUGAUUACUAUAAUUAAAGGGCCGCGGUAUUAUGACCGUGCAAAGGUAGCAUAAUCAUUAGAUUUUUAAUUGGAAUCUUGUAUGAAUGGUUGGACGAAGGAAAAACUGUCUUUAAAUUAAAGUUUAAAUUUAACUUUUAAGUGAAAAGGCUUAAAUAUUUUAAAGGGACGAUAAGACCCUAUAAAACUUUACAUUAAAUUAUAUUUAAUUAAAUUUUAAAUAAAGAUUUAGUAUAGCUAUUUGUUAUAUUGGGGAGAUAGAAGUAGAAUUUAAUUUAACUGCUUUACAGUUAAACAAUUAUUAAUGAGAUAUAAAGAUCCUUUAUAAAGAUUGUAAAAUUAAGUUACUUUAGGGAUAACAGCGUUAUUUUUUUAGAGAGUUCUUAUCGACCAUAAAGAUUGCGACCUCGAUGUUGAAUUAAAAUAUCUAUAUAAUGUAGGAGUUAUAUUAGAAGGUCUGUUCGACCUUUAAAAUUUUACAUGAUUUGAGUUCAAACCGGUGUAAG
RNAcentral lists this ribosomal RNA (540 nucleotides) under Johora grallator. Its description in RNAcentral is "16S rRNA". It matches the Rfam family "Bacterial large subunit ribosomal RNA", at positions 1831 to 2625 of the family's 2925-position model. Lineage: Eukaryota; Metazoa; Arthropoda; Malacostraca; Decapoda; Potamidae. The record is from RNAcentral.